CUGACUACAUUUCCAGCCUUGAUGAUCUAAUGGCAUCUUGGGCAGUUGGGUGCGUGCAGAAGAUGUUGCACAAACAUUGUUCUAAUCGCUCUGAGGUUCGACUGAUCGGCAGAGACGAGGUUGAACGAGGAAAUGGUCGCCUGGCCUGACCCCUGACCUUGAAUGGGGUUGUAAUGUCCUCUGGCCCUGAGACAGCCUGAUGUUUUUAUUCAUA
Long non-coding RNA from Paralichthys olivaceus (Japanese flounder), 214 nucleotides. RefSeq lists it as uncharacterized. The record is from RefSeq and is a predicted model, not a curated record. Lineage: Eukaryota; Metazoa; Chordata; Actinopteri; Pleuronectiformes; Paralichthyidae.